UCAGCUUAUAUCUGUCAGUGUGACAUACCGGACAUGCGUCAAGGCCACCAAGGUCAUUCCCUUCUGGAUCUUUACCCCAAAAGAGAACGCAGUCAUAUCUGCAUGCAUGGAUCUUGAUGUAGGAAAGCCCAAGAUCUUUCAGGAUACAUCAGACCUUAUGAUGAGUGGUAGGAAGACGAUGACCGUGAGGCAGCAUCGAAGCAGUGUACUGUAGAUAAUCAUUAACAGCUUUCACAGUCGAUUUAGUCUCAACUUUAAUCUUCAUUACGUCCAUCACACUUUUAAGAACGAUCUUCUGACAACCGGGGUACACAGGGGUCUGUUGGAAAGCAAACAGUUUGUUGUACUUGUCAAUACUAGCAGUGUUGACAGCUCUAGGGAAGGGCUGCACCGGGUCAGGCAUAUACUGUCCUUGAGCGCAUACACCGCUCUCAUAAGGAAACAUGUCGUUGAUGAAGACCGUUGUUGGAUCGUUGGAUGUACUGCCCGUCUCAGAAAAUUGGCCAUGAUCAUGCGGACCUCCAGAUGAUGUUUCACCGUGAUAUAACCAACAUGUGUACUUCUUCCAAAACCCGUUACUCUUCAGGUGCUGCCAUACUUUGUCAAUCGCAUAUCGAUGCAUAUCGUUGCGACACUGACAUUUCGUGCACGGGCAAUAGAAAAUUGUAUUCCCGUUAGCAUUAGCCAGCGCAUAUUCCAGAAAACUCAUAAUUUCUUUACCAUAUCUUUUGUCCCAUUUUGGAAGCGAAAUCCAACUCUUAUCCAUAUUCUGAAAAUAUAACAAAAUAUAUAUGUAUAACGCUAGCUAAUUAUUAAUUAAAUUCUAUGCCAUAUAUAAAAUUUUAAUUCAUUUAUAUAUAUUCUACGUACUACAACUAAUUAAUUGAUAACAAAUUAAUUAACACACAUAUAUAUAUAGAUAUACUUAAUUAAUAAUUACAUAACAAUAUUAUAUAUAUCAACAUCAUCACAAAAUCAUCAUCAACAACUUCAUACCAUCAACACAAUAUUAUAAAUUAAUUAACAUAUAUAUAUAUAUAUCUACUACUUAUUAACAACAACUUCAUAUAUAUUAUCGAAUCAUCA
Molecule: long non-coding RNA, 1086 nt
Filed under: Fragaria vesca (wild strawberry)
Lineage: Eukaryota; Viridiplantae; Streptophyta; Magnoliopsida; Rosales; Rosaceae
Description: long non-coding RNA (FVES_LNC004955)
Source: RNAcentral